RNAcentral lists this ribosomal RNA (301 nucleotides) under uncultured bacterium. Its description in RNAcentral is "partial 16S ribosomal RNA". It matches the Rfam family "Bacterial small subunit ribosomal RNA", at positions 509 to 807 of the family's 1533-position model. The record is from RNAcentral.
CAGUCGCCACGGGAAUACGUAGGUGGCAAGCGUUGUCCGGAAUUAUUGGGCGUAAAGGGCUCGCAGGCGGUUUCUUAAGUCUGAUGUGAAAGCCCCCGGCUCAACCGGGGAGGGUCAUUGGGAACUGGGAAACUUGAGUGCAGAAGAGUAGAGUGGAAUUCCACGUGUAGCGGUGAAAUGCGUAGAGAUGUGGAGGAACACCAGUGGCGAAGGCGACUCUCUGGUCUGUAACUGACGCUGAGGAGCGAAAGCGUGGGGAGCGAACAGGAUUAGAUACCCCAGUAGUCCCUGUCUCUUAUAC